Molecule: non-coding RNA, 28 nt
Filed under: Homo sapiens (human)
Lineage: Eukaryota; Metazoa; Chordata; Mammalia; Primates; Hominidae
Source: RNAcentral
GGAAUGACAAGACACUUUGGACACAAGA